AACAGGGAUUUCCAUGAAAAUAAGUGAUAUUUAAGGGGAAAAACAGGGAUUUCUAUGAAAAUAAGCGAUAUUUCAGGUUAAAAACAGGGAUUUCUAUGAAAAUAAGCGAUAUUUCAGGUGAAAAACAGGGAUUUCUAUGAAAAUAAGCGAUAUUUUAGGUUAAAAACAGGGAUUUCUAUGAAAAUAAGCGAUAUUUAAGGAUAAAAACAGGGAUUUCUAUGAAAAUAAGCGAUAUUUAAGGUUAAAAACAGGGAUUUCUAUGAAAAUAAGCGAUAUUUAAGGUUAAAAACAGGGAUUUCUAUGAAAAUAAGCGAUAUUUUAGGUUAAAAACGGGGAUUUCUAUGAAAAUAAGCGAUAUUUUAGGUUAAAAACAGGGAUUUCUAUGAAAAUAAGCGAUAUUUCAGGGGAAAAACAGGGAUUUCUAUGAAAAUAAGCGAUAUUUCAGGUUAAAAACAGGGAUUUCUAUGAAAAUAAGCGAUAUUUAAGGUUAAAAACAGGGAUUUCUAUGAAAAUAAGCGAUAUUUUAGGUUAAAAAGAGGGAUUUCUAUGAAAAUAAGCGAUAUUUAAGGUUAAAAACAGGGAUUUCUAUGAAAAUAAGCGAUAUUUUAGGUUAAAAACGGGGAUUUCUAUGAAAAUAAGCGAUAUUUUAGGUUAAAAACAGGGAUUUCUAUGAAAAUAAGCGAUAUUUCAGGGGAAAAACAGGGAUUUCUAUGAAAAUAAGCGAUAUUUAAGGUUAAAAACAGGGAUUUCCAUGAAAAUAAGUGAUAUUUAGGU
This is a long non-coding RNA of Lagopus muta (rock ptarmigan), 774 nucleotides long. RefSeq lists it as uncharacterized. The transcript has 3 exons. Lineage: Eukaryota; Metazoa; Chordata; Aves; Galliformes; Phasianidae. The record is from RefSeq and is a predicted model, not a curated record.